GAUGAACGCUGGCGGCGUGCCUAAUACAUGCAAGUCGAGCGAACAGACGAGGAGCUUGCUCCUCUGACGUUAGCGGCGGACGGGUGAGUAACACGUGGAUAACCUACCUAUAAGACUGGGAUAACUUCGGGAAACCGGAGCUAAUACCGGAUAAUAUAUUGAACCGCAUGGUUCAAUAGUGAAAGACGGUUUUGCUGUCACUUAUAGAUGGAUCCGCGCCGCAUUAGCUAGUUGGUAAGGUAACGGCUUACCAAGGCAACGAUGCGUAGCCGACCUGAGAGGGUGAUCGGCCACCAUGGAACUGAGACACGGUCCAGACUCCUACGGGAGGCAGCAGUAGGGAAUCUUCCGCAAUGGGCGAAAGCCUGACGGAGCAACGCCGCGUGAGUGAUGAAGGUCUUCGGAUCGUAAAACUCUGUUAUUAGGGAAGAACAAAUGUGUAAGUAACUAUGCACGUCUUGACGGUACCUAAUCAGAAAGCCACGGCUAACUACGUG
Molecule: ribosomal RNA, 497 nt
Filed under: uncultured bacterium
Lineage: Bacteria
Description: partial 16S ribosomal RNA
Rfam family: Bacterial small subunit ribosomal RNA
Source: RNAcentral